UACUAUCAUCACAAGGCGACGACAUCAU
This 28-nucleotide non-coding RNA is filed under the name Bombyx mori (domestic silkworm). The record is from RNAcentral. Lineage: Eukaryota; Metazoa; Arthropoda; Insecta; Lepidoptera; Bombycidae.